RNAcentral lists this ribosomal RNA (445 nucleotides) under uncultured bacterium. RNAcentral describes it as "partial 16S ribosomal RNA". It matches the Rfam family "Bacterial small subunit ribosomal RNA", at positions 354 to 796 of the family's 1533-position model. The record is from RNAcentral.
GUGAGGAAUAUUGCGCAAUGGAGGCAACUCUGACGCAGUCAUGCCGCGUGCAGGAAGAAGGCGCUACGCGUUGUAAACUGCUUUUAACCGGGAAGAAACCCCAGGACGUGUCCUGGGUUGACGGUACCGGAGGAAUAAGCACCGGCUAACUUCGUGCCAGCAGCCGCGGUAAUACGAAGGGUGCAAGCGUUAUCCGGAUUCAUUGGGUUUAAAGGGUGCGUAGGCGGAGCGUUAAGUCAGUGGUGAAAUCCUGCAGCUUAACUGUAGACUUGCCAUUGAUACUGUCGCUCUUGAGUGCGCUUGAAGUGGGCGGAAUGUGCCGUGUAGCGGUGAAAUGCUUAGAUAUGGCACAGAACACCAAUUGCGAAGGCAGCUCACUAAGGCGAUACUGACGCUGAGGCACGAAAGCGUGGGGAUCGAACAGGAUUAGAUACCCGGGUAGUCC